This 468-nucleotide ribosomal RNA is filed under the name uncultured bacterium. Its description in RNAcentral is "partial 16S ribosomal RNA". It matches the Rfam family "Bacterial small subunit ribosomal RNA", at positions 28 to 507 of the family's 1533-position model. The record is from RNAcentral.
GACGAACGCUGGCGGCGUGCUUAACACAUGCAAGUCGAACGGAAAGGCCCUGCUUUUGUGGGGUGCUCGAGUGGCGAACGGGUGAGUAACACGUGAGUAACCUGCCCUUGACUUUGGGAUAACUUCAGGAAACUGGGGCUAAUACCGGAUAGGAGCUCCUGCUGCAUGGUGGGGGUUGGAAAGUUUCGGCGGUUGGGGAUGGACUCGCGGCUUAUCAGCUUGUUGGUGGGGUAGUGGCUUACCAAGGCUUUGACGGGUAGCCGGCCUGAGAGGGUGACCGGCCACAUUGGGACUGAGAUACGGCCCAGACUCCUACGGGAGGCAGCAGUGGGGAAUAUUGCACAAUGGGCGGAAGCCUGAUGAAGCAACGCCGCGUGCGGGAUGACGGCCUUAGGGUUGUAAACCGCUUUCGCCUGUGACGAAGCGUGAGUGACGGUAAUGGGUAAAGAAGCACCGGCUAACUACGUG